Molecule: ribosomal RNA, 467 nt
Filed under: uncultured bacterium
Lineage: Bacteria
Description: partial 16S ribosomal RNA
Rfam family: Bacterial small subunit ribosomal RNA
Source: RNAcentral
ACGAACGCUGGCGGCGUGCUUAACACAUGCAAGUCGAACGGAAAGGCCCUGCUUUUGUGGGGUGCUCGAGUGGCGAACGGGUGAGUAACACGUGAGUAACCUGCCCUUGACUUUGGGAUAACUUCAGGAAACUGGGGUUAAUACCGGAUAGGAGCUCCUGCUGCAUGGUGGGGGUUGGAAAGUUUCGGCGGUUGGGGAUGGACUCGCGGCUUAUCAGCUUGUUGGUGGGGUAGUGGCUUACCAAGGCUUUGACGGGUAGCCGGCCUGAGAGGGUGACCGGCCACAUUGGGACUGAGAUACGGCCCAGACUCCUACGGGAGGCAGCAGUGGGGAAUAUUGCACAAUGGGCGGAAGCCUGAUGCAGCAACGCCGCGUGCGGGAUGACGGCCUUCGGGUUGUAAACCGCUUUCGCCUGUGACGAAGCGUGAGUGACGGUAAUGGGUAAAGAAGCACCGGCUAACUACGUG